This is a long non-coding RNA of Helianthus annuus (common sunflower), 1443 nucleotides long. RefSeq lists it as uncharacterized. NCBI's taxonomy places the organism in Eukaryota, Viridiplantae, Streptophyta, Magnoliopsida, Asterales, Asteraceae. The transcript is spliced from 4 exons. The record is from RefSeq and is a predicted model, not a curated record.
GUUUUUAAUACUUCAUAAAAUAGUAAUGGCAAACAUGAAUGUCACUUUCCUGAAUAAACUAAACGUUGAUUCAAAAAACGUCACCAUAAAGGUCAAGAUUGUCAAGCUUUGGAGGAGACCCAUGAAGGAUAACAAAAACGAAACCUGGUCAAUUGAAAUGAUUCUGAUGGAUGAACAUGUAUAUUUUAUAUGCGCAAUUUAUUAAGAUGUGGUUUUAUGAUGAUCAUUUUUAAUGUUAAAAUAUAUGAUCCAGGGGACAAAAGUUACUGCAAGUUGUCUACAAAAGUUUUUCCCAGAUUCGAGAAACCUCUGAUUCAAGAUGAUUGCCUCUUUAUCCAUAGGCCGUCACUUGCCGAAAACAAGUUUACCUUCAAGUUUGCUGAAAAAGAACAGAAGGUUACUUUUUUCUACAACACUUUGAUCACGAAAUGCAAUAGCUGGUCAGGGUCUGAGCAUGGCUUCAUUUUUUGCGGAUUUUAAGUCUAUUCUAGACAAAUCCGGGCCCAAUGACAAUUCAAUUCCUUUGGGUUCAAUUUUAGAUGUGGUUGGAUAUGUUGUUAUAUGUUACCCCAUGGAGCCUACCAUACAAAAUUAGGGCCUGGCAAAAGAAUGACUUUAAAGCUAAGAGAUUUAAAUAAUGAAGAUUUGACAGUGACUUUGUGGGACGAGUUUGCUGAGGAAAUGAACGCAUAUAUGUCUUGGAAAGAUAAAGAUAUGCAUGUGGUUUUACUUAUUCAAUUUGGGGUUUUGAAGCUUUACAAAGGGAAACGAAUUGUUUCAAAUGCAUUUGAUGCAACUAGGCUGUUCAAGAAUUCUUCCAUGAGCGAGCAAUAUUAGCACCUAAAAAUGAAGUUGUUCAAGAGAUUAACGAUCGUCUGCUAUCACUUUUUCCUGGAGAAGAACAGGAGUACCUUAGCUCGGAUAGUAUUUGUCCAUCAGAACAGUUUAAUGAUCCAGCACAAGAACGUAUAUAUUCUCCCGAUGUUCUUAAUGGACUUAAAAUAUCUGGAUUGCCAAAUCAUAUGUUGGUGUUAAAGGUUGGUGUUCUUGUUAUGCUUCUAAGAAAUAUUGAUCAGCAAAAUGGUUUGUGCAACGGUACCAGAUUACAGAUCCUAACACUUGGUAAACGCGUAAUAGAAGCUGAAAUAAUAUCUGGAGGUACUAUCGAUACUCGAACAUACAUUCCUAGAAUUAAUAUGAUACCUUCAGACAAAAAAAUUCCCUUCAAGUUUCAGAGAAGGCAAUUUCCACUAUGUGUAUGCUUUGCAAUGACUAUAAACAAAAGCCAAGGACAAUCACUAUCUCGAGUUGGUUUGUACUUAAAGCAACCUGUAUUCACCCAUGGACAAUUGUAUGUUGCACUUUCGAGAGUAAAGAGUAGAGCCGGAGCAAAACUACUAAUUUUAGACAAAGAAGGGAAUGUUACAAACCAAACGACAAAUG